This 465-nucleotide ribosomal RNA is filed under the name uncultured bacterium. Its description in RNAcentral is "partial 16S ribosomal RNA". It matches the Rfam family "Bacterial small subunit ribosomal RNA", at positions 28 to 507 of the family's 1533-position model. The record is from RNAcentral.
GACGAACGCUGGCGGCGUGCUUAACACAUGCCAGUCGAACGGAAAGGCCCUGCUUGCAGGGUACUCGAGUGGCGAACGGGUGAGUAACACGUGGGUGAUCUGCCCUGCACUUCGGGAUAAGCCUGGGAAACUGGGUCUAAUACCGGAUAGGAGCCAUUUUUAGUGUGAUGGUUGGAAAGUUUUUUCGGUGUAGGAUGAGCUCGCGGCCUAUCAGCUUGUUGGUGGGGUAAUGGCCUACCAAGGCGGCGACGGGUAGCCGGCCUGAGAGGGUGGACGGCCACAUUGGGACUGAGAUACGGCCCAGACGCCUACGGGAGGCAGCAGUGGGGAAUAUUGAACAAUGGGCGCAAGCCUGAUGCAGCGACGCCGCGUGGGGGAUGACGGCCUUCGGGUUGUAAACUCCUUUCGCUAGGGACGAAGCUUUUUGUGACGGUACCUAGAUAAGAAGCACCGGCUAACUACGUG